Molecule: ribosomal RNA, 504 nt
Filed under: Staphylococcus aureus
Lineage: Bacteria; Bacillati; Bacillota; Bacilli; Caryophanales; Staphylococcaceae
Description: bacterial SSU rRNA
Rfam family: Bacterial small subunit ribosomal RNA
Source: RNAcentral
AGGUGGUGCAUGGUUGUCGUCAGCUCGUGUCGUGAGAUGUUGGGUUAAGUCCCGCAACGAGCGCAACCCUUAAGCUUAGUUGCCAUCAUUAAGUUGGGCACUCUAAGUUGACUGCCGGUGACAAACCGGAGGAAGGUGGGGAUGACGUCAAAUCAUCAUGCCCCUUAUGAUUUGGGCUACACACGUGCUACAAUGGACAAUACAAAGGGCAGCGAAACCGCGAGGUCAAGCAAAUCCCAUAAAGUUGUUCUCAGUUCGGAUUGUAGUCUGCAACUCGACUACAUGAAGCUGGAAUCGCUAGUAAUCGUAGAUCAGCAUGCUACGGUGAAUACGUUCCCGGGUCUUGUACACACCGCCCGUCACACCACGAGAGUUUGUAACACCCGAAGCCGGUGGAGUAACCUUUUAGGAGCUAGCCGUCGAAGGUGGGACAAAUGAUUGGGGUGAAGUCGUAACAAGGUAGCCGUAUCGGAAGGUGCGGCUGGAUCACCUCCUUUCUAAGGA